UGCCGCCGCGGAGGCCCGGGGCCGUCAGCCCGAAGUGCUUCAGCGGGCUGUACACCGUCAUGCCCGCGCACAGCAGCAGCGCCGCCUGCUCCGGCGCCAGACCUGCAGGGAUCGGCACCACGAACCUGCACGCCAAUGAAGGAAGAAUUGCCCAGAUAUGUUGAUUGAGGUUUCCAUUUCAAAUUAUGCCGAGUACCAGGGGAAAUAUGCUAUUAUCUAUGUGUAUUGAUGCAAUUUCAUUCAUCUCCUACGUUGCCUUAAAGGAUUAUACAAAACUUUCACGUGUUCUUUGCAGAUCGAGAUAAGAGGCGUUGAUUGUUCCAGUUGCUCUCUAAGGAAAUUGAUUUAUCUAAAAAGCAUGCUUGCCUGCUGACCAGCGUUACCAUCAUUAAGAACACCUAUUGUUCAUUGCAUUAUCAUAUUCUGGGGACUGCUCAUCACAUCUCCAAUAAUGAUUCCUCAUCUGCUAUACAGUUAUCCAUCCAUGAUUUGGUGAUCAAAAUUAGACCAACUGGGAUGCUCAUUCUCAAGUGGGGACCAUACCAAUUGCCCAAUACCUCUCUUCACACAGCAAUGUCUUUUAAACAUUGGUAUCAGGGAAGUGCUAUACUUUUAGCAUAUUGAUAUAAUGUGUUCUGACAACUGAUUUUGUUUCUUGAGGUUUUCCCCUUUCCUACUUCAGACCUUUUAGCAUGAUUCGGCAAUACAUGUCCCUUUCUUAAAAUUAGGUGCCGUAAAAAAACUCUCACUGAGGCAUCUUUUUACAUCAGAUUACUCAUUUCUUAUGUAUAAUUCUAUUUUUAUGUUCUCUAUUUAUGGAUAUCCUGUAAUUUGUUGGACUGAAAGGUAUAUCGGUCAUAAA
Long non-coding RNA from Panicum virgatum (switchgrass), 862 nucleotides. RefSeq lists it as uncharacterized. The transcript is spliced from 3 exons. The record is from RefSeq and is a predicted model, not a curated record. NCBI's taxonomy places the organism in Eukaryota, Viridiplantae, Streptophyta, Magnoliopsida, Poales, Poaceae.